UGCUCCCUUCGGCAGCACUAUACUAAAAUUGGAAGAUUAGCAUGGCCCCUGUGCAAGGAUGACAUGCAAAUUUGUGAAGUAUUCCAUAUUUUU
This 93-nucleotide small nuclear RNA is filed under the name Urocitellus parryii (Arctic ground squirrel). Lineage: Eukaryota; Metazoa; Chordata; Mammalia; Rodentia; Sciuridae. The record is from RNAcentral.